RNAcentral lists this ribosomal RNA (253 nucleotides) under uncultured bacterium. RNAcentral's name for it is "partial 16S ribosomal RNA". It matches the Rfam family "Bacterial small subunit ribosomal RNA", at positions 524 to 776 of the family's 1533-position model. The record is from RNAcentral.
UACGUAGGGGGCAAGCGUUGUCCGGAAUCAUUGGGCGUAAAGAGCGUGUAGGCGGUCCGGUAAGUCCGCUGUGAAAGUCAAGGGCUCAACCCUUGAAAGCCGGUGGAUACUGCUGGACUAGAGUCCGGAAGAGGCGAGUGGAAUUCCUGGUGUAGCGGUGAAAUGCGCAGAUAUCAGGAGGAACACCGAUGGCGAAGGCAGCUCGCUGGGACGGUACUGACGCUGAGACGCGAAAGCGUGGGGAGCAAACAGG